GAUGAACGCUGGCGGCGUGCCUAAUACAUGCAAGUCGAGCGAAUGGAUUAAGAGCUUGCUCUUAUGAAGUUAGCGGCGGACGGGUGAGUAACACGUGGGUAACCUGCCCAUAAGACUGGGAUAACUCCGGGAAACCGGGGCUAAUACCGGGUAACAUUUUGAACCGCAUGGUUCGAAAUUGAAAGGCGGCUUCGGCUGUCACUUAUGGAUGGACCCGCGUCGCAUUAGCUAGUUGGUGAGGUAACGGCUCACCAAGGCAACGAUGCGUAGCCGGCCUGAGAGGGUGAUCGGCCACACUGGGACUGAGACACGGCCCAGACUCCUACGGGAGGCAGCAGUAGGGAAUCUUCCGUAAUGGACGAAAGUCUGACGGAGCAACGCCGCGUGAGUGAUGAAGGCUUUCGGGUCGUAAAACUCUGUUGUUAGGGAAGAACAAGUGCUAGUUGAAUAAGCUGGCACCUUGACGGUACCUAACCAGAAAGCCACGGCUAACUACGUGCCAGCCGCCGCAGUAA
This 515-nucleotide ribosomal RNA is filed under the name uncultured bacterium. RNAcentral describes it as "partial 16S ribosomal RNA". It matches the Rfam family "Bacterial small subunit ribosomal RNA", at positions 28 to 523 of the family's 1533-position model. The record is from RNAcentral.